Parasteatoda tepidariorum (common house spider) is the source of this 554-nucleotide long non-coding RNA. NCBI's taxonomy places the organism in Eukaryota, Metazoa, Arthropoda, Arachnida, Araneae, Theridiidae. The record is from RefSeq and is a predicted model, not a curated record.
UAACAAUCUUUACGUGGUAUGUAAUGGGUUAUAGUUCUCUUACAAGAUAUUUCCCUUUGUUAAAAAAUAGUACUUUAAACAGAGUAUUUUCGGUCAAUAUAUCUUUUUUCCUAGUAAUUCAGAAGCAUUCUAUUGCAUUUUCCUUGAUUCUUAUAUUUGAUUUUCGUCAAUAUGAGAUGAUUAACAUUUUUCUAUCACAGGAAGGCGAACAAAUCAAUGAUGAGCGAGAAUCAAGUAUGAAGAUGGGAGAGCAGAUAAUACAAGGAGUGGAGCCUCUUACCUAUUUUAAGAAAAAGGAAUGUAGCAGGUUACUGGAAAAAGAGCCUUGGAAUUUUCAAAUAAUAAGCUAGAUAAUUUAAUUUGGCCUACCUAAUUAUUUUUGAUCAGUGACUUCUGCAGUCAUUCAGAAACUAGCGUGGCUUUCGGUUAAACUUUAUUGGAUAUCGUAAGAGUGAAUUAAUGUCUUGAAGAUUCUAUGAAACUGUCAGAUAGAAAUUGCUCUGUUGUAAUGUGUUUAAUUAGAAUAAACGAAACAUGACACUUUAGGAAUAGAA